GAUGAACGCUGGCGGCGUGCUUAACACAUGCAAGUCGAACGGAAAGGCCCAAGCUUGCUUGGGUACUCGAGUGGCGAACGGGUGAGUAACACGUGGGUGAUCUGCCCUGCACUUCGGGAUAAGCCUGGGAAACUGGGUCUAAUACCGGAUAGGACCACAUUUUGGAUGGUUUGGUGGAAAGUUUUUCGGUGUGGGAUGAGCUCGCGGCCUAUCAGCUUGUUGGUGGGGUAAUGGCCUACCAAGGCGUCGACGGGUAGCCGGCCUGAGAGGGUGUACGGCCACAUUGGGACUGAGAUACGGCCCAGACUCCUACGGGAGGCAGCAGUGGGGAAUAUUGCACAAUGGGCGCAAGCCUGAUGCAGCGACGCCGCGUGGGGGAUGACGGCCUUCGGGUUGUAAACUCCUUUCGCUAGGGACGAAGCGUUUUUGUGACGGUACCUGGAGAAGAAGCACCGGCUAACUACGUG
RNAcentral lists this ribosomal RNA (467 nucleotides) under uncultured bacterium. Its description in RNAcentral is "partial 16S ribosomal RNA". It matches the Rfam family "Bacterial small subunit ribosomal RNA", at positions 28 to 507 of the family's 1533-position model. The record is from RNAcentral.